Molecule: long non-coding RNA, 350 nt
Filed under: Brachypodium distachyon (stiff brome)
Lineage: Eukaryota; Viridiplantae; Streptophyta; Magnoliopsida; Poales; Poaceae
Description: long non-coding RNA (BDIS_LNC001208)
Source: RNAcentral
GAUGUGAUUGGAUGCCUUGUAAUUAAUGGGCUCUACAUAAUAUCAAAGGACAUCACUAGGUACUCCUAUUUCAAAAUUCGAUCAGGAACGCUUUCACAUGCCUAUUCACUGACAGAAUGCCCAGAUUUCUCAAAUCUGUAUGUGGAAGUGAAUCAGCGCACACGCCCAAGCACACACCUGUUCCCUCCAAACCAUGCAGUCCGCAUCUUAAUUAUCACCAUUUCCUUUCACAAGCUAGCACGCAACAAUUAAAUGUUUGCCCUAGAGAAGAUGCAAAAUUGAAUUAAUUAUUUUUCAAAGCUAUUGAUAGUAUUAAUAAAAAAAAUCGAAGAAAACAAGAAAAACCCACC